Molecule: transfer RNA, 74 nt
Filed under: Paenibacillus crassostreae
Lineage: Bacteria; Bacillati; Bacillota; Bacilli; Caryophanales; Paenibacillaceae
Description: tRNA-Gln
Rfam family: tRNA
About the family: Transfer RNA (tRNA) molecules are approximately 80 nucleotides in length. Their secondary structure includes four short double-helical elements and three loops (D, anti-codon, and T loops).
Source: RNAcentral
UGGGGAUUCGCCAAGUGGUAAGGCAACGGACUCUGACUCCGUCAUCAUAGGUUCGAAUCCUAUAUCCCCAGCCA